Molecule: long non-coding RNA, 969 nt
Filed under: Bos taurus (domestic cattle)
Lineage: Eukaryota; Metazoa; Chordata; Mammalia; Artiodactyla; Bovidae
Description: long non-coding RNA NONBTAT010717
Source: RNAcentral
UUUGGAGUAUAUAUUAGAAAUUAAGAUUUACUGCAUUUGCAGACCAUUUUGCCUUUUUAUGAAAAAAGUGGAGGCAAUAGAGACCCACUUGUCCAAUGUGUCAUUUUCAACACGGUGGGCAAGCGGAGGGUGGCAGCUUUAUUUAUCACUGCCCGCUUGCUGGAGUGCUGGUAAAUGGAAUUGCUUGCUCUGCCAAGCACAUGGGGAAUGAGCACAGCAGUGAGGCUGGGUUUUUACAGCAGCUCUGUGAUCUUGAAUUAUGAAAGGAUUAGACAAGAUUUGAGAGAAGGGAACCUCUGUUGUUUUUCUUCCCUCUUUUGUAAAGAUUUGAGGGUGAGGAAAAGCCUAGCAUAAAGACAAUUUAGAAAGUCCACCAGAUGAUGUUCUUUGGAAAAUGGGUUCGGAGAUUUCUGAUUUAUUUCCUCUGGUUAACUGCCAAGUAAGAAAUCACAAUGCAAAUAAUGACUUCUCUCUCUAGAGUGAGGAAUCCAUUAGUAUUUAACCCAAAGUCCUGCUGUGGCCCUGAAGCACUGCUUUCACCGCCAAGCUUAAGGCCCACAUACUAUUCUGUUUUCAUACAUAUGAGUUGAAGCCCAGGUCUGCAUAACAAUGUUACUAGUAAGUGAACUCUAUUUUUUGGAGGUGCUUAUCAUUCCUAAAUUUUAUCAAAUCCAAUUGGUCUGCAAGCUGUUAGUUUUUGGGUAUCUUUGUUAAGGAAGCUAUGGAUACCCAUAGUACCAUUUUUGGCCAACCCCCUUCCUGCCUAACCUUUAGGCCAUGCCCACAGGUCCGUCUCUGCGCAUCCCAUUAUCCUCUGGUGCCUCUUCAAGGCAGGCUCAACCGAAGCCGACAUCCCAACGUCCUAGGGGUAUUAUUCAGGGGCUUUAGUGUAAUGAGAGGCUCUUCCUGAAGUUCCAGCCUCUCUCUCCAUCCUCUGCGGCAGCCACAAAGCUUCUUGAAUAUGUCAUG